This 1504-nucleotide long non-coding RNA is filed under the name Homo sapiens (human). RNAcentral's name for it is "HSALNT0297542". The record is from RNAcentral. Lineage: Eukaryota; Metazoa; Chordata; Mammalia; Primates; Hominidae.
UAGCCUUCCUGUUAAGAAAACAAAAGAACAUGUGAGAUCACGGAGCUGCAGACUGCACCUUGGAGAUCACUGAAUCUUCUCUUCUCUUGGCCAGAGGAGGGGAUAGAAGAAAGCAGACAUGCCUGAGGCCACACAGCUGGCUGUCAUAGAAGUUACUUGGACAACACCACCCACCCCUGGGGGGUGGGGUGGUGGGAACUUGCUUGGUGAUGGCAACAAACAAACAAACACUUUCCCCUUCCCACUUCUCUUCCGGUAUUCCAGACAGGAGGAAUAAUGUACUGAUCUGCUGACAUUAAGAAGGACCCUAUUUUCAGAUUACUUCUUCAAAGGAGCAGCAUCUACAUUGGCAAGGACCGCCGUGAGGAUCCAAGUGCACAGUGAGGUGGGGGGAGGCAGAUACAUGGAUUCCUUUCCACGUGGCCCACAAGAAACACCUGUCCCUCCAGACUCGGGGACCACCAGGGACCUUGAAUAGUUGCCUUGGCAACUCAUUGCCUGGCUAACUCCCACUCCUUUGGGUUUCAGCUUAAACAUCAGUUGUGCAAGAUCUUCUGGACCCCUAAGUUGGGUCCUCCUCUUGUAAGCAUUCAUAGCAUUCUCUACAUACCCUUUACAGCACUUUUAUGAGUUGAAUAGCAUGGUUAUUGGUGUGCUUAUUUGUUUCACACCUGUCUUUUGCACUAAAUUCUAAGCUCUCUGAGGAAAAGGAAUAUGUUUCUGUUGCGUACCAUCUUAUCACCACGUAGCAGUGGGUGCUCCAUAAGAUCCUCCUGCGUGAGUAAGUGAAUUCCCUGCCUCAUCCCUCUCUCAUGCCUUAGCAUGAGGCCUGAGGCCAAGAGCCCGUCCAUCACAUACCCCUUGCCCAAAGCCUCCUUAUAACGGUCAGGAGAAGGGUGGCAUCUCCUCCUCUCCCUUCUAACUCAAGGAACAAAUCACUGGCUACAUGAUAGUUGCCCUUCCUCCCAUCCUUCCAGCAUAGUAGCCCCUGCCCAGGAUCCAAAAGGCAGAAGGUGAGUAAUUGCUAUUUUUAUUUAUCUUUGCACAAGGCUGCCCUCUGGUGGUCGAACAUGUAGGAGCGAAUGGGAAGGAUGGAAACCCCAGUAGCCAGGAACCAGCCCAGCUGGCUGAGCCAACCACGCUCAAGAGACUGGCCAGCGAGCCAGGGAGUAGCUUUCUUGGCAUUCUGUGUGGGUGCAAGAGAUGGGGAAUAUGGAAAAGAGCUCCACUGCAGACACUGCUAUUUUCUGAGCCAGGAGCCAUAAGUGUCAAGGAAAGAAGAUGGAGAAAUGCAAAUUUGGCUACUGAAAAACAUUUCAGUACAUGAGUGUGUGUGUGUAUGCAUGCGUGUGCAUGUGUGUGAUAUUUGCAAGGGAUCGAGAGGUUGAUUAAUGCCUGGGCUAAAGAUCACCGUUUAAAGAUAAGGAAUUGGGCUUUAUGGCUGGAGGCCCAUGCCUGCAUGGUCCUUGGAGGGUUCUUACCUGGGAGGAGUGGAAGGGCUCCG